AUGAACGCUGGCGGCGUGCUUAACCCAUGCAAGUCGAACGGGAAACCUUUUAUUGAAGCUUCGGCAGAUUUAGCUGGUUUCUAGUGGCGGACGGGUGAGUAACGCGUGGGUAACCUGCCUUAUACAGGGGGAUAACAACCAGAAAUGGUUGCUAAUACCGCAUAAGCGCACAGGACCGCAUGGUUCGGUGUGAAAAACUCCGGUGGUAUAAGAUGGACCCGCGUUGGAUUAGCUAGUUGGCAGGGUAACGGCCUACCAAGGCGACGAUCCAUAGCCGGCCUGGGGGGGUGAACGGCCACAUUGGAACUGAGACACGGCCCAGACUCCUACGGGAGGCAGCAGUAGAGAAUAUUGCACAAUGGGGGAAACCCUGAUGCAGCGGCGCCGCGUGAAGGAAGAAGUAUCUCGGUAUGUAAACUUCUAUCAGCAGGGAAGAUAGUGACGGUACCUGACGAAGAAGCCCCGGCUAACUACGUG
Molecule: ribosomal RNA, 477 nt
Filed under: uncultured bacterium
Lineage: Bacteria
Description: partial 16S ribosomal RNA
Rfam family: Bacterial small subunit ribosomal RNA
Source: RNAcentral